AAUGGAAUGCCUGAAUAAAGGAUUAUCGUGAUAGGAUAAAUAAUGUAAAAAAAAUUACUUCCAUUA
This 66-nucleotide transfer RNA is filed under the name Cryptocercus tianbaensis. Its description in RNAcentral is "tRNA-Ile". Lineage: Eukaryota; Metazoa; Arthropoda; Insecta; Blattodea; Cryptocercidae. The record is from RNAcentral.